GUGUCAGCCGCCGCGGUAAUACGUAGGAUGCGAGCGUUAUCCGGAUUUACUGGGUGUAAAGGGAGCGCAGGCGGGACUGCAAGUUGGAUGUGAAAUACCGCAGCUUAACUGCGGAGCUGCAUCCAAAACUGUAGUUCUUGAGUGGAGUAGAGGCAAGCGGAAUUCCGAGUGUAGCGGUGAAAUGCGUAGAUAUUCGGAGGAACACCAGUGGCGAAGGCGGCUUGCUGGGCUCUAACUGACGCUGAGGCUCGAAAGUGUGGGGAGCAAACAGGAUUAGAUACCCUGGUAGUCCACACUGUAAACGAUGAUAGCUAGGUGUGGGGGGUCUGACCCCUUCCGUGCCGGAGUUAACGCAAUAAGCUAUCCACCUGGGGAGUACGGCCGCAAGGUUGAA
RNAcentral lists this ribosomal RNA (394 nucleotides) under uncultured bacterium. RNAcentral's name for it is "bacterial SSU rRNA". It matches the Rfam family "Bacterial small subunit ribosomal RNA", at positions 505 to 898 of the family's 1533-position model. The record is from RNAcentral.